AACUACUCAAAUCUGCAAUUGCGUACUAAAGAAAUGCCGUUAAAGCAAUUGAUCCAGGAAAAAACUUUUCAGAUGUGGAUAGGAGGACCAGAACAUGUUUACUAAGCCUUAAUCCGACAUCCGGAGGAUAAAAAUUAUGAAGGAAAUGUUUGUCUGCGGAACACUUAACAAUCCCAGCAAACUUAAUAUGUAUAUCUUAAAUGAUUAAGG
This 210-nucleotide unclassified non-coding RNA is filed under the name Hevea brasiliensis (rubber tree). Lineage: Eukaryota; Viridiplantae; Streptophyta; Magnoliopsida; Malpighiales; Euphorbiaceae. The record is from RNAcentral.